UUGGUACGCUGAGAUCUAUUACAAAGCCA
Molecule: non-coding RNA, 29 nt
Filed under: Mus musculus (house mouse)
Lineage: Eukaryota; Metazoa; Chordata; Mammalia; Rodentia; Muridae
Also listed under: 1 other name
Source: RNAcentral